UACGUAGGGGGCGAGCGUUGUCCGAAGUUACUGGGCGUAAAGCGCGCGUAGGCGGUCUAUUAAGUCUGAGGUGAAAGGUUCAGCGCUCAACGCGAACAGUGCCUUGGAUACUGGUAGACUUGAGUGUGGCAGAGGAGUAUGGAAUUCCCGGUGUAGCGGUGAAAUGCGUAGAGAUCGGGAGGAAGGCCGGUGGCGAAGGCGGCGCUCUGGAACAUUUCUGACGCUGAGGCUCGAAAGCGCGGGGAGCAAACAGG
Molecule: ribosomal RNA, 254 nt
Filed under: uncultured prokaryote
Description: partial 16S ribosomal RNA
Rfam family: Bacterial small subunit ribosomal RNA
Source: RNAcentral